Molecule: ribosomal RNA, 330 nt
Filed under: uncultured bacterium
Lineage: Bacteria
Description: bacterial SSU rRNA
Rfam family: Bacterial small subunit ribosomal RNA
Source: RNAcentral
CGCGUAGGUGGUAGUGCAAGUCUGGGGUGGAACCCCAGGGCUUAACCCUGGAGCUGCCUUGGAAACUGUAUUACUUGAGUCAGUGAGGGGAGGGUAGAAUUCCUGGUGUAGCGGUGAAAUGCGUAGAUAUCAGGAGGAAGGCCUGUGGCGAAGGCGGCCCUCUGGCGCUGAACUGACACUGAGGCGCGAAAGCGUGGGGAGCAAACAGGAUUAGAUACCCUGGUAGUCCACGCCCUAAACGGUGGGUACUAGGUGUAGGGCUCGUAAGGGUUCUGUGCCGAAGCGAAAGCAUUAAGUACCCCGCCUGGGGAGUACGGCCGCAAGGUUGAA